Molecule: ribosomal RNA, 497 nt
Filed under: uncultured bacterium
Lineage: Bacteria
Description: partial 16S ribosomal RNA
Rfam family: Bacterial small subunit ribosomal RNA
Source: RNAcentral
GACGAACGCUGGCGGCGUGCCUAAUACAUGCAAGUUGAGCGGUGAAGGUUGGUACUUGUACCAACUGGAUGAGCAGCGCACGGGUGAGUAACGCGUGGGGAAUGUGCCUUUGAGCGGGGGACAACAUGGGAAAACGAAUGCUAAUACCGCAUAAAAACCUUAAACACAAGUUUGAAGGGUGAAAGAUGCAAUUGCAGCACGCAAACAUGAUCCCGCGUUGUAUUAGCUAGUUGGUGCGGUAAAGGCUCACCGAGGUGAUGUUGCAUAGCCGCCCUGAGAGGGUGAUCGGCCACAGUGGGACUGUGACACGCCCCAAACGCCCUCGGGUGGCAGCAGUAGUGCAUCUUCGGCAAUGGGUGGAGGUCUUACCGCGCUGCGCCGCGGCAGGGUAGAGGGUUUUCGGAUCGUAGAAGUCUGCUGGUAGAGUAGAACGCUGGUGAGCGUGUAACGCUCAUCAAGUGACGGUAACGAGCAAGAAAGCGACGGCUAACUACGUG